Ictidomys tridecemlineatus (thirteen-lined ground squirrel) is the source of this 69-nucleotide non-coding RNA. NCBI's taxonomy places the organism in Eukaryota, Metazoa, Chordata, Mammalia, Rodentia, Sciuridae. The record is from Rfam.
GGGAUUGUGGCUCAGUAGUAGAGCACUUGCCUUAUAUGUGUGAGGCACUGGGUUCAAUUCUCAGCACCA